RNAcentral lists this small RNA (132 nucleotides) under Acanthamoeba castellanii mamavirus. RNAcentral describes it as "unknown". Lineage: Varidnaviria; Bamfordvirae; Nucleocytoviricota; Megaviricetes; Imitervirales; Mimiviridae. The record is from RNAcentral.
GUUAGUAUAGGUAUUUGCGGUGCCUAUACAGAUCUAUUUAUGGAAUAAAUUAGGAAAAUCAUCAACAGUAUCAGAUAAACCAUACUUAAAGUCAACAAUAUCCCUUAUCUGUUUAUUGACAGAUAAAGAAUA